RNAcentral lists this ribosomal RNA (773 nucleotides) under uncultured bacterium. RNAcentral's name for it is "bacterial SSU rRNA". It matches the Rfam family "Bacterial small subunit ribosomal RNA", at positions 1 to 780 of the family's 1533-position model. The record is from RNAcentral.
CGAAUUCGCCCUUAGAGUUUGAUCCUGGCUCAGGACGAACGCUGGCGGCGUGCUUAACACAUGCAAGUCGAACGGAAAGGCCUCUUUCGGGGGGUACUCGAGUGGCGAACGGGUGAGUAACACGUGAGUAACCUGCCCUUGACUUUGGGAUAACUUCAGGAAACUGGGGCUAAUACCGGAUAGGAGCUCCUGCUGCAUGGUGGGGGUUGGAAAGUUUCGGCGGUUGGGGAUGGACUCGCGGCUUAUCAGCUUGUUGGUGGGGUAGUGGCUUACCAAGGCUUUGACGGGUAGCCGGCCUGAGAGGGUGACCGGCCACAUUGGGACUGAGAUACGGCCCAGACUCCUACGGGAGGCAGCAGUGGGGAAUAUUGCACAAUGGGUGGAAGCCUGAUGCAGCAACGCCGUGUGCGGGAUGACGGCCUUCGGGUUGUAAACCGCUUUCGCUCAUGACGAAUCUUUGUGUGACGGUAAUGGGUAAAGAAGCACCGGCUAACUACGUGCCAGCAGCCGCGGUGAUACGUAUGGUGCGAGCGUUGUCCCGAUUUAUUGGGCGUAAAGGGCUCGUAAGUGGUUGAUCGCGUCGGAAGUAUAAUCUUGGGGCUUAACCCUGAGCGUGCUUUUGAUACUGCUUGACUUGAUGAAGGUAGGGGAGAAUGAGAUUCCUGGUGGAGCGGUGGAAUGAGCAGAUAUCAAGAGGAACACCGGUGGCGAAGGCGGUUCUCUGGGACUUUCUUGACGCUGAGGAGCGAAAGCGUGGGGAGCCGACAGGAUUA